GACGAACGCUGGCGGCGUGCCUAAUACAUGCAAGUCGAGCGGACAGAUGGGAGCUUGCUCCCUGAUGUUAGCGGCGGACGGGUGAGUAACACGUGGGUAACCUGCCUGUAAGACUGGGAUAACUCCGGGAAACCGGGGCUAAUACCGGAUGGUUGUUUGAACCGCAUGGUUCAAACAUAAAAGGUGGCUUCGGCUACCACUUACAGAUGGACCCGCGGCGCAUUAGCUAGUUGGUGAGGUAACGGCUCACCAAGGCAACGAUGCGUAGCCGACCUGAGAGGGUGAUCGGCCACACUGGGACUGAGACACGGCCCAGACUCCUACGGGAGGCAGCAGUAGGGAAUCUUCCGCAAUGGACGAAAGUCUGACGGAGCAACGCCGCGUGAGUGAUGAAGGUUUUCGGAUCGUAAAGCUCUGUUGUUAGGGAAGAACAAGUACCGUUCGAAUAGGGCGGUACCUUGACGGUACCUAGCCAGAAAGCCACGGCUAACUACGUG
RNAcentral lists this ribosomal RNA (497 nucleotides) under uncultured bacterium. Its description in RNAcentral is "bacterial SSU rRNA". It matches the Rfam family "Bacterial small subunit ribosomal RNA", at positions 28 to 507 of the family's 1533-position model. The record is from RNAcentral.